UGGUGUAUAGCUCAGUGGCAGAGCACACGCUGAGCAUGCACAGGGUCCUGGGUUCAAUCCCCAGUACCUCCA
RNAcentral lists this transfer RNA (72 nucleotides) under Camelus bactrianus (Bactrian camel). It matches the Rfam family "tRNA". Rfam says of the family: Transfer RNA (tRNA) molecules are approximately 80 nucleotides in length. Their secondary structure includes four short double-helical elements and three loops (D, anti-codon, and T loops). RNAcentral also lists the same sequence under 2 other names. The record is from Rfam by way of RNAcentral. Lineage: Eukaryota; Metazoa; Chordata; Mammalia; Artiodactyla; Camelidae.